GACGAACGCUGGCGGCGUGCCUAAUACAUGCAAGUAGAACGCACAGGAUGCACCGUAGUUUACUACACCGUAUUCUGUGAGUUGCGAACGGGUGAGUAACGCGUAGGUAACCUGCCUGGUAGCGGGGGAUAACUAUUGGAAACGAUAGCUAAUACCGCAUAAGAACAUUUACUGCAUGGUAGAUGUUUAAAAGGUGCAAAAGCAUCACUACCAGAUGGACCUGCGUUGUAUUAGCUAGUUGGUGAGGUAACGGCUCACCAAGGCAACGAUACAUAGCCGACCUGAGAGGGUGAUCGGCCACACUGGGACUGAGACACGGCCCAGACUCCUACGGGAGGCAGCAGUAGGGAAUCUUCGGCAAUGGGGGGAACCCCUGACCGAGCAAACGCCGCGUGAGUGAAGAAAGGUUUUCGGAUCGUAA
Molecule: ribosomal RNA, 421 nt
Filed under: Streptococcus constellatus
Lineage: Bacteria; Bacillati; Bacillota; Bacilli; Lactobacillales; Streptococcaceae
Description: bacterial SSU rRNA
Rfam family: Bacterial small subunit ribosomal RNA
Source: RNAcentral